AGUCAAACUUAUUCCUUUACUGAAAAUUUAAAACAACACUUUUCCCAUCAAGAUACCUUAACAUUAAAACUCUGUAAUCUUACAAUACUCCACAACAACACAUAAAAAAUAGAGAAUUUUGUUUUCAAAUUAUUGGAAUUAUUGGACUCGGUCGGCGAAUCAUACCACAAUGGGUCUCUCAACAUUUGCUAUUUGGGUUCUUAUAGGCGUUCUAGCAGCGGCCAUCGCAAUUACUUCUUGCGGUUUAAUUCUGGGACUCUUUUAUGACAGGUAUACCGUGAAAAAAACCAAUGGAACAAAUACUAUAGCGACUAUAGCAUUUGAUAUAUAACCGAGAGUGUUGUGCAUAUUGUGUUGGUAAAAUAAAUUAAAUUGUCGAGCGAUUCAAAUGGAAGUUUGAGUGAACAUGUAAUAAAAAGCGUUAAAUAUA
RNAcentral lists this small RNA (430 nucleotides) under Drosophila ananassae. RNAcentral describes it as "GF26530". The record is from RNAcentral. Lineage: Eukaryota; Metazoa; Arthropoda; Insecta; Diptera; Drosophilidae.